Molecule: transfer RNA, 74 nt
Filed under: Streptomyces phage Annadreamy
Lineage: Duplodnaviria; Heunggongvirae; Uroviricota; Caudoviricetes; Stanwilliamsviridae
Also listed under: 2 other names
Description: tRNA-Lys
Rfam family: tRNA
About the family: Transfer RNA (tRNA) molecules are approximately 80 nucleotides in length. Their secondary structure includes four short double-helical elements and three loops (D, anti-codon, and T loops).
Source: RNAcentral
AAUCCCUUAGCUCAGUUGGCAGAGCGCUGGACUUUUAAUCCAAGUGUCGUCGGUUCGAGUCCGACAGGGAUUAC